RNAcentral lists this microRNA precursor (201 nucleotides) under Oryza punctata. Its description in RNAcentral is "MIR1435 microRNA precursor family". It matches the Rfam family "MIR1435 microRNA precursor family". The record is from Rfam by way of RNAcentral. Lineage: Eukaryota; Viridiplantae; Streptophyta; Magnoliopsida; Poales; Poaceae.
UGACUUUUUUCCUAGUCAAACUUCUUUUAAGUUUGACCAAAUUUAUAGAAAAGUAUAGCAACAUUUUGAACACAAAACAAACAUAUUAUCAAAAUAUAUUCAAUGUUAGACUUAAUGAAACUAAUUUGGUGUUUUAGAUGUUGCUAAAUUUUUCUAUAAAUUUGGUCAAGCUUAACAAAGUUUAACUAGGAAAAAAGUCAA